RNAcentral lists this ribosomal RNA (665 nucleotides) under uncultured soil bacterium. RNAcentral describes it as "bacterial SSU rRNA". It matches the Rfam family "Bacterial small subunit ribosomal RNA", at positions 34 to 743 of the family's 1533-position model. The record is from RNAcentral.
CGCUGGCGGCAGGCUUAACACAUGCAAGUCGAACGCGUGUAGCAAUACACGAGUGGCGCACGGGUGAGUAACGCGUGGAUAUCUGCCUUUUGGUUCGGAAUAACCCCGGGAAACUGGGGCUAAUACCGGAUGGUUCCUUCGGGAUAAAGAUUUAUCGCCAAAAGAUGAGUCCGCGUACGAUUAGCUAGUUGGUGAGGUAAUGGCUCACCAAGGCGACGAUCGUUAGCUGGUCUGAGAGGACGAUCAGCCACACUGGGACUGAGACACGGCCCAGACUCCUACGGGAGGCAGCAGUGGGGAAUAUUGGACAAUGGGGGCAACCCUGAUCCAGCCAUGCCGCGUGAGUGAUGAAGGCCUUCGGGUUGUAAAGCUCUUUUGGCGGGGACGAUGAUGACGGUACCCGCAGAAUAAGCCCCGGCUAACUUCGUGCCAGCAGCCGCGGUAAGACGAAGGGGGCUAGCGUUGUUCGGAAUUACUGGGCGUAAAGCGAGUGUAGGUGGUUGUCCAAGUUGGAUGUGAAAGCCUUGAGCUCAACUCAAGAAAUGCAUUCAGGACUGGGCGGCUAGAGGACCGGAGAGGAUAGUGGAAUUCCCAGUGUAGUGGUGAAAUACGUAGAGAUUGGGAAGAACACCAGUGGCGAAGGCGGCUAUCUGGACGGUUUCUGA